Ruditapes philippinarum (Manila clam) is the source of this 995-nucleotide long non-coding RNA. RefSeq lists it as uncharacterized. The record is from RefSeq and is a predicted model, not a curated record. Lineage: Eukaryota; Metazoa; Mollusca; Bivalvia; Venerida; Veneridae. The transcript has 3 exons.
AUAUGUUUCGCCUUAAUGUCAUGCUUCACAAUUAUCCUGUUUUUAGAUGUAUUUAAAUUUCUAUAUACUUAUUAAAUAGUUGUUGUGAGCGAAGGCUAGAUUAAACUUUUGAAAAGAAAUUAUUUAUGUGAUUAAGAAUCGCUACACUACCAGGAAAAAACAAAACCAGGGACAGUUACUAACAGGCAUUCUACUUUUGGGAUGGAUUCUUCACCACUUAAUCAGCCUGAAAUCAAAAAGGCUAGGCCCCCUGAUUAUAUUAUGGCAUCUAUUAUAGUUUGCAUAUUCCUUAGCUUCAAACCGACUGGGAUACUUGCUGUCCUCUAUGCAUACGAGGCAAAUAAUUAUGCGGAUGCUGGUGACAAUGUCAGGGAAAAGAGAAGUUCAAACACUGCCAGUAGGCUGAUUAUAGCCAGUGUGAUUAUUGAAAUUACUAUGUGGAUUUAUUCUUUGAUAUAUUCCAUUUUGUUAAUUAAAAUGUUCAUUUCUGGUCCAAAGUAAUACGAGGUAAUUAAGGUUACUUUUCCAGUGCACCUGUAAUUAAAUGUCCUGGUGUAUUAUAAUAACUGUUGCAUUUUUAAUAUAUGUAUCUCGCGCACAUACAUUGUCAAUUAGUCGUGCCUUUAAAAAUUAGAUUAAUAUUUGGUUUACAAAUUCCUUCCCUCUUUCAUUCAAGUAAAUUUAGAUAAUUAUUUAAAUCUUAAUGUCUACAUGGUCUAAGCAUUCAUUUCACUUUCUUUUUAAUUUGUUUACAUUUGAAAAAAUAUCAGCAGGCGAGCAGAGAAAAUAAAAUUUCACGAUCAUUUAAGUGUUAAAGCGGUACAUUUAGUGAUGAACAUUACUGUGAGAGGCAGUGAAGGUCAUUGACUGCGUAACCUUCAAGUUGUAAGUUAUACUGACGUAGAGGUCAAUAUUUUUUUCAAUGCGCCGCUUUCAUCGACAUGUUUGUAUGUAAAAUUAAUAAUUGUUGUAAUAUAAAAAGCUACUAACAUGCA